AACGAACGCUGGCGGCAGGCUUAACACAUGCAAGUCGAACGCAUCCUUCGGGGUGAGUGGCAGACGGGUGAGUAACGCGUGGGAACGUGCCCUUCAGUUCGGGAUAACCCAGGGAAACUUGGGCUAAUACCGGAUACGUGCGAGAGCAGAAAGAUUUAUCGCUGAAGGAUCGGCCCGCGUCUGAUUAGCUAGUUGGUGGGGUAAUGGCCCACCAAGGCGACGAUCAGUAGCUGGUCUUAGAGGAUGACCAGCCACAUUGGGACUGAGACACGGCCCAAGCUCCUACGGGAGGCAGCAGUGGGGAAUAUUGGACAAUGGGCGCAAGCCUGAUCCAGCCAUGCCGCGUGAGUGAUGAAGGCCUUAGGGUUGUAAAGCUCUUUCGUCCGGGACGAUAAUGACGGUACCGGAAGAAGAAGCCCCGGCUAACUUCGUGCCAGCCGCCGCAGUAA
This 449-nucleotide ribosomal RNA is filed under the name uncultured bacterium. RNAcentral's name for it is "partial 16S ribosomal RNA". It matches the Rfam family "Bacterial small subunit ribosomal RNA", at positions 29 to 523 of the family's 1533-position model. The record is from RNAcentral.